This is a long non-coding RNA of Thunnus maccoyii (southern bluefin tuna), 524 nucleotides long. RefSeq lists it as uncharacterized. The record is from RefSeq and is a predicted model, not a curated record. The transcript has 2 exons. NCBI's taxonomy places the organism in Eukaryota, Metazoa, Chordata, Actinopteri, Scombriformes, Scombridae.
GCAUGCACUAAAGCAGGGCCCUGAAACCUGCACACAUAAAUGGAAUAUAGCUGUGAUUCAUGAUGUCAAUUACACCUGUGCUUUUCCUGCUUGGCUGUUUAUUGAGCCCAGAUCUCUGCCAAAGGAAGCUAUUUGGUUUUACCCUGAGGUCCGGCCUGCUCUUCCACUCUACUGUGUGUCCUGUGUGCUUCUCCUCAUCAGAUAUGAGCAGAGUUUUUGUUUUUCCAGGCUGUUUGGUUGAACUGGGUCACCUACUUCAUCACUGUCACAUUACACAUCAUCAUGCCUCCUUGAACUUGGACUUUUCUUGGGUUCAUCUGUAUUUUAUUUGACUUCUUAUAUUUGAUUUAUUACAUCUGUUAUCCUAUUGUAAUGUUAUCAAUCAAUAAUUCCUUUGUUGUGUAUUGUAUUUGUAAUAACAGUUACAACUUUCCGUUCAUUUUUAUUUGCCAUUUUUUGGUCUAGAGAGGUGCUAAAGAGAUAAACUUUAAUUACUUCCCUCUCUUCCCUCUCCUGGAAUUUAA